UUGCUCCCUGAUGUUAGCGGCGGACGGGUGAGUAACACGUGGGUAACCUGCCUGUAAGACUGGGAUAACUCCGGGAAACCGGGGCUAAUACCGGAUGGUUGUUUGAACCGCAUGGUUCAAACAUAAAAGGUGGCUUCGGCUACCACUUACAGAUGGACCCGCGGCGCAUUAGCUAGUUGGUGAGGUAACGGCUCACCAAGGCAACGAUGCGUAGCCGACCUGAGAGGGUGAUCGGCCACACUGGGACUGAGACACGGCCCAGACUCCUACGGGAGGCAGCAGUAGGGAAUCUUCCGCAAUGGACGAAAGUCUGACGGAGCAACGCCGCGUGAGUGAUGAAGGUUUUCGGAUCGUAAAGCUCUGUUGUUAGGGAAGAACAAGUACCGUUCGAAUAGGGCGGUACCUUGCCGGUACCUAACCAGAAAGCCACGGCUAACUACGUGCCAGCAGCCGCGGUAAUACGUAGGUGGUAAGCGUUGUCUGGUUUUUUUG
Molecule: ribosomal RNA, 492 nt
Filed under: Bacillus subtilis
Lineage: Bacteria; Bacillati; Bacillota; Bacilli; Caryophanales; Bacillaceae
Description: bacterial SSU rRNA
Rfam family: Bacterial small subunit ribosomal RNA
Source: RNAcentral